AAGUCGUAACAAGGUUUCCGUAGGUGAACCUGCGGAAGGAUCAUUAUCGAAAAUAGCUGCUACGUCCUGAUAGUAGAAGGCGAAGGAUUCGAAUCCAGCCGAGUUAGUAUUUUAGUGCGUGCUUCCCAACACUAGUAUUUUAGUGAGUGCUUCCAAAAGAAGCCCCUAGUACUUGUGGUGCACCAAAGAAGCCCCUAGUACUUUCGCGGUUGCUUUCGAGCCGAUGUACCCUCUACGAUUUUUGGACCAAUUGCUCUCUCACGAGAGGUAGCAACUUAAUUCAACCACUUGUGAAUUUGUAAUUUAUUUUACCAACUGACUGUUAACGAAGACUGAUUCAAUAACUUGUUGGUGUUUAAAGACACUAAUACAAUCAUUGAAACAACUUUUGGCAACGGAUCUCUUGGCUCUC
RNAcentral lists this unclassified non-coding RNA (412 nucleotides) under fungal sp. Its description in RNAcentral is "partial internal transcribed spacer region". The stretch from base 1 to 46 matches the Rfam family "Eukaryotic small subunit ribosomal RNA", at positions 1786 to 1831 of the family's 1831-position model. The record is from RNAcentral. Lineage: Eukaryota; Fungi.